This 520-nucleotide ribosomal RNA is filed under the name uncultured Glomus. RNAcentral's name for it is "SSU rRNA". It matches the Rfam family "Eukaryotic small subunit ribosomal RNA", at positions 569 to 1092 of the family's 1831-position model. The record is from RNAcentral. Lineage: Eukaryota; Fungi; Glomeromycota; Glomeromycetes; Glomerales; Glomeraceae.
CGCAGCCGCGGUAAUUCCAGCUCCAAUAGCGUAUAUUAAAGUUGUUGCAGUUAAAAAGCUCGUAGUUGAAUUUCGGGGUUAGUAGGUUGGUCAUGCCUCUGGUAUGUACUGGUCUCACUGAUUCCUCCUUCCUGAUGAACCUUAAUGCCAUUUAUUUGGUGUUUUGGGGAAUUUGGACUGUUACUUUGAAAAAUUAGAGUGUUUAAAGCAAGCUAACGCUUGAAUACAUUAGCAUGGAAUAAUGAAAUAGGACGUUCGAUCCUAUUUUGUUGGUUUCUAGGAUUGACGUAAUGAUUAAUAGGGAUAGUUGGGGGCAUUAGUAUUCAAUUGUCAGAGGUGAAAUUCUUGGAUUUAUUGAAGACUAACUACUGCGAAAGCAUUUGCCAAGGAUGUUUUCAUUAAUCAAGAACGAAAGUUAGGGGAUCGAAGACGAUCAGAUACCGUCGUAGUCUUAACCAUAAACUAUGCCGACUAGGGAUCGGAUGAUGUUAAUUUUUAAUGACUCAUUCGGCNCCUUACG